GACGAACGCUGGCGGCGUGCUUAACACAUGCAAGUCGAACGGAAAGGCCCUGAUUUUGUGGGGUGCUCGAGUGGCGAACGGGUGAGUAACACGUGAGUAACCUGCCCUUGACUUUGGGAUAACUUCAGGAAAAUGGGGAUAAUACCGGAUAGGAGCUUUUGAUGCAUGGUGGGGGUUGGAAAGUUUCGGCGGUUGUGGAUGGACUCGCGGCUUAUCAGCUUGUUGGUGGGGUAGUGGCUUACAAAGGCUUUGACGGGUAGCCGGCCUGAGAGGGUGACCGGCCACAUUGGGACUGAGAUACGGCCCAGUCUCCUACGUGAGGCAGCAGUGGGGAAUAUUGCACAAUGGGCGGAAGCCUGAUGCAGCAACGCCGCGUGCGGGAUGACGGCUUUCGGGUUGUAAACCGCUUUCGCCUGUGACGAAGCGUGAGUGACGGUAAUGGGUAAAGAAGCACCGGCUAACUACGUG
RNAcentral lists this ribosomal RNA (468 nucleotides) under uncultured bacterium. RNAcentral's name for it is "partial 16S ribosomal RNA". It matches the Rfam family "Bacterial small subunit ribosomal RNA", at positions 28 to 507 of the family's 1533-position model. The record is from RNAcentral.